GAUAAACGAUGGAAGCCAACACUAGUAGAAUGGUUGCUUUGAAUGGCACAAAUUAUGUCAUUUGGUAGGGUAAAAUGGAAGAUUUGCUCUAUGUCAAGAAUUUUCAUCUACCUGUCUUCACCAUUAUAAAGCCUGAUAAUAAAUCAGAUGAAGAGUGGAGUUUGUUACACAGGCAGAUUUGCGGCUUUAUUAGACAGUGGGUUGACGAUAAUGUUUUGAAUCAUAUUUCUGGGGAUACACAUGCUCGGACCCUUUGGGAGCACCUUGAAAGAUUGUAUGCUCGGAAAACUGGAAACAACAAGAUGUUUCUAAUAAAGCAGAUGUUAGGUUCAAAAUACCAUGAUGGUUCCGCGAUGACAGAUCAUCUGAAUAAUUCUCAGGGGAUUAUGAACCAGUUAUCUGCUAUGGGCAUUAAAUUUGAUGAAUAAAUUCAAGGUCUGUUUCUACUUGGUUCCCUACCAGAUUCUUGGGAAAUUCUUAGAACUUCAUUAUCAAAUUCUACUCUGCAUGGUGUGAUCUCUAUGGAUCUUGCCAAGAGCAACUUUUUAAAUGAAGAAAUGAGAAGAAAAUCUCAAGGAUCCUCCUCAUCAGAUGUCUUGGUGACGGGGAGAAACAAGAAUCGGGGUUCUCAAAAUAGAGAACAUAAUAGAGACAAAUCCAGAAGCAGACUUAAAGAUAUUGAGUGCUAUCAUUGCGGGAAGAAAGGGCACACAAAGAAGUUCGGCCGGAUUUUGAAAAAGGAGAAUAGAGACAAGGAAGAACAAAAAGGAGAUGGCAACCGUGUGGCCACCGUCACUACAGAAGAUCUUGUUACUGUCCUUGAUGCGGAUUUGAUAAAUAUUUGCUGGAUUUUGAAAAAGGAGAAUAGAAACAAGGAAGAACAGGAAGAAGAUGGCAAUCAUGUGGCCACCGUCACUACAGAAGAUCUUGUUACUGUCCUUGAUGUGAAUCUGAUAAAUAUUGCUUGUGAUGAGUCAAGCUGGGUUGUGAACAGUGGUGACGCAUUUCAUGUGACAUCAAGGAAGAAAUUUUUCUCAUCCUAUACUCAGGGUGACUAUGGAACUUUGAGUAUGAGUAAUGAGACUGUAUCUAGGGUGGCUGGUGUUGGAACAAUUUGUUUGAAAACUACUUUUAUACAAUGUAAAGCAUGCACCUGAUGUUCGUUUGCACUUGAUCUCUGUUGGUGUUUUGAAUGAUGAGGGAUAUGUUAGUACCAAUGGUGCUGGAAAGUGGAAGCUCACUAAGGGCUCCAUGANNNN
RNAcentral lists this long non-coding RNA (1259 nucleotides) under Nicotiana benthamiana. RNAcentral's name for it is "long non-coding RNA (NBEN_LNC037517)". Lineage: Eukaryota; Viridiplantae; Streptophyta; Magnoliopsida; Solanales; Solanaceae. The record is from RNAcentral.